Molecule: unclassified non-coding RNA, 280 nt
Filed under: uncultured fungus
Lineage: Eukaryota; Fungi
Description: partial contains 5.8S rRNA, ITS2 and 28S rRNA
Rfam family: Eukaryotic large subunit ribosomal RNA
Source: RNAcentral
AAGGAGUCCAACAUGUAUGCGAGUGUUUGGGUGGCAAACCCUUAUGCGUAAUGAAAGUGAACGGAGGUGUAUUUGCACCAUCGACCGACCUGGAGUUCUUUGAAAUUUCUGAGUAAGAGCGUGGAUGCUAGGACCCGAAAGAUGGUGAACUAUGCCUGAAUAGGGUGAAGCCAGAGGAAACUCUGGUGGAGGCUCGUAGCGAUUCUGACGCGCAAAUCGAUCGUCAAAUUUGGGUAUAGGGGCGAAAGACUAAUCGAACCAUCUAGUAGCUGGUUCCCUC